GGGCGUAUAGCUCAGAUGGUUAGAGUGCUACAUUGACAUUGUAGAGGUCCCAGGUUCAAUUCCUGGUACGCCCACCA
RNAcentral lists this transfer RNA (77 nucleotides) under Parcubacteria group bacterium CG1_02_37_51. RNAcentral's name for it is "tRNA-Val". It matches the Rfam family "tRNA". From Rfam's summary of the family: Transfer RNA (tRNA) molecules are approximately 80 nucleotides in length. Their secondary structure includes four short double-helical elements and three loops (D, anti-codon, and T loops). RNAcentral also lists the same sequence under 2 other names. The record is from RNAcentral.